RNAcentral lists this ribosomal RNA (491 nucleotides) under uncultured bacterium. RNAcentral describes it as "bacterial SSU rRNA". It matches the Rfam family "Bacterial small subunit ribosomal RNA", at positions 9 to 526 of the family's 1533-position model. The record is from RNAcentral.
GAGUUUGAUCCUGGCUCAGGAUGAACGCUGGCGGCGUGCCUAACACAUGCAAGUCGAGCGAUUCUCUUCGGAGAAGAGCGGCGGACGGGUGAGUAACGCGUGGGUAACCUGCCCUGUACACACGGAUAACAUACCGAAAGGUAUGCUAAUACGAGAUAAUAUGCUUUUAUCGCAUGGUAGAAGUAUCAAAGCUUUUGCGGUACAGGAUGGACCCGCGUCUGAUUAGCUAGUUGGUAAGGUAACGGCUUACCAAGGCGACGAUCAGUAGCCGACCUGAGAGGGUGAUCGGCCACAUUGGAACUGAGACACGGUCCAAACUCCUACGGGAGGCAGCAGUGGGGAAUAUUGCACAAUGGGCGAAAGCCUGAUGCAGCAACGCCGCGUGAGCGAUGAAGGCCUUCGGGUCGUAAAGCUCUGUCCUCAAGGAAGAGUCAAGACUGUACCUGCAGAAGAAGCCCCGGCUAACUACGUGCCAGCCGCCGCGGUAAUUC